This 441-nucleotide long non-coding RNA is filed under the name Betula platyphylla (Asian white birch). RNAcentral's name for it is "salt induced long non-coding RNA 10". Lineage: Eukaryota; Viridiplantae; Streptophyta; Magnoliopsida; Fagales; Betulaceae. The record is from RNAcentral.
GGUGAUGAAGCUGCCAAGUUCUGGAAUGUACUUCCUAACAUGUGUGUUUGAUGUUGACAAGAAUCCAACUUUCAAUUAAAUGGAAAUGACAUUUUUGUUAUAUGAUAAUGCCCUGUUAUCACUAAAUAAUAAUGAAUGUGUUUAUUUGAGUUCUUUGGAAAUUGUCCAACCCUGUUCUUAUUAGAAACAUAAACUUAUUGUUAUUGCAUCAAGUGGUAUUACAUUCUGUUGACAAUUUUCUAUUUUAAGUGAAACGUGCAUUUAAAUGGCAUUAGAAGUUUAUGUGUUUAGGCUUUUUACAACUUCUAACAACCAACAAACAAUAUUAGAAGUGACUUUAAACACUCAGAUCCUUUGGAGUCCGACGCUCUCCAAUGGAAGCAAAAGGUCCCGCUCACCUAUUUCUAGGAUCUCUGUUUGGUUUGCGAUAAAGUUUAAGAA